Rhinichthys klamathensis goyatoka is the source of this 1178-nucleotide long non-coding RNA. RefSeq lists it as uncharacterized. The transcript has 3 exons. NCBI's taxonomy places the organism in Eukaryota, Metazoa, Chordata, Actinopteri, Cypriniformes, Leuciscidae. The record is from RefSeq and is a predicted model, not a curated record.
UUUGAGUAAUAUUUCAAUAUUCACCCACAUGAUGACAUUUCUGAUCGUGCAUCACUGUUUACAAGCACGAACUUGCGUUCUUUAUGUGUGUUCGCAGAACCUUUUGAGCGCCGAAUCGCUUCAACCAAAAAAUCAAGCUGUUUUCAAGAGUGGUGCAUGCGGGGAGUAAUUACAGGCAGCUGUUGCUGAGGGCCUCGUUUGAGGACGUUGAGAGGGAUUUUUGCAUUACCUGUAGCUUCAUCUUCUCUCCUCUUCUUCUGAACCCUGGAGGAAUUCUGCUAACUUUGUUUCUAAAAGUGGCAUUGCGAAGAAAGUUCUGUGGGUUGCCAUGACAACUGUUUCCGACAGAGAGAGAGAGAGAGAUGCAGAGGCUCAGUGAGAUGCUGAAGAAAAGGUUGAACAAGAAGCGUUUUGAAUGAAGUGUUCAGAGGCCAGGAGAGCCGGUCCGCGGUGACCCGAGGCAGAUUGAACACACUGACACACCGUCUGUACGCGUGUAGCGUCGAUGCGCUCAUGACUUCGGGAGCACCUUUAGAUCCACGGAAGAGUUAGAGAAGGUCACCAGUCGUCCAUCGGCUCAGUUCUUGACUGGAUCCUGCUGUCCUGAGGUCGAUUAUACGCUGGAUGGGAGGACGGUUUCUGGAACAUAAUAUAGCGAUGACACAAUGAGGAUAAAACGAGUCAUGUGGUCAGGUGACACUUUGAGGUCAGUGACUGAAGAUCCUCCCUCUUCGCUUUUACUCUUGGAGGACAAUGAACUGGUUUUUUUUUUUCUUCAGUGCAAUUAAUGACAACAUGAACAACGUCCUAGUUUUCGCCAGUGCAAAACGAGGGAAAAUUCCCAAAGAUGGCCGCCUGAAAAGCUCCGGCUAGGUCGGUCACGCGGCUCAUCCAAUUAUAGAAUAGCUGUGACAACUCGGGGGGUGAAGAUGGAAACUCUUCCCUCCGACGCUAUAAAUCAAAGUGGUUCAUUUUCAAGGUGAGAUGUUGGGGAAGUUGAAGAGUCAGGAAUUUGUGGGAACUGGAGCACAGUGGGAAUCAUAGGGAACUUACUGGAAACAUAAAUGCAGCAAAUCUUUCAAUAAUCAAAGCACACCUGCACAUGGUUUCAGAAGUGUACAUGCAAACUUGAGUUAAACAGCUUUAAAAAUGAGGAUGCAUGAUGUUGGACACGCUGC